This 610-nucleotide ribosomal RNA is filed under the name uncultured bacterium. RNAcentral's name for it is "bacterial SSU rRNA". It matches the Rfam family "Bacterial small subunit ribosomal RNA", at positions 338 to 947 of the family's 1533-position model. The record is from RNAcentral.
CCUACGGGAGGCAGCAGUAAGGAAUAUUGGUCAAUGGGCGCAAGCCUGAACCAGCCAUGCCGCGUGCAGGAAGACGGCCCUAUGGGUUGUAAACUGCUUUUGAACAAGAGAAAACCUCGGUACGUGUACCGAGCUGAUAGUAUUGUUAGAAUAAGCAUCGGCUAACUUCGUGCCAGCAGCCGCGGUAAGACGAAGGAUGCAAGCGUUAUCCGGAUUCAUUGGGUUUAAAGGGUGCGUAGGCGGCCUGAUAAGUCAGUGGUGAAAUCUCUCAGCUUAACUGAGAAACUGCCAUUGAUACUGUCGGGCUUGAGUACAGAUGAUGUGGGCGGAAUAUGACAUGUAGUGGUGAAAUACUUAGAUAUGUCAUAGAACACCGAUUGCGAAGGCAGCUCACAAAACUGUAACUGACGCUGAGGCACGAAAGUGCGGGGAUCAAACAGGAUUAGAUACCCUGGUAGUCCGCACCGUAAACGAUGAUUACUCGUUGUUGGCAAUAUGACCGUCAGCGACCAAGCGAAAGCGAUAAGAAUCCACCUGGGGAGUACGCCGGCAACGGUGAAACUCAAAGGAAUUGACGGCGNGAGAGNGCGAGCGACGACGAGGGGAGAGG